RNAcentral lists this long non-coding RNA (973 nucleotides) under Neodiprion lecontei (redheaded pine sawfly). Its description in RNAcentral is "uncharacterized LOC124295365". The record is from RNAcentral. Lineage: Eukaryota; Metazoa; Arthropoda; Insecta; Hymenoptera; Diprionidae.
UCACGAUGGGGUACACCACGCAUACUACUGACAGACAACGGCACACCAUACAUAAACAAACUCAUACGCGAACUGACACAAAAAUUCAACAUAAGACACGCAACAAUCCCCCCAUACCACGCACAAGCCAACCCCGUAGAGCGAGUCAACAGAACCGCUAAAACAAUGAUCCAAGCCUACGUAAACAACGACCACACAGAAUGGGACAUACACUUACAAGACUUACAAUUUGCAAUCAAUACAUGUACACACACAUCAACUAAACACACACCAGCCUUUUUAAACCUAGGAAGGGAAUUAAAUCCCACACAAUGUCUAAGAAAUCAGUUAGAGAACCACGACGAAGUAGAAUUACAAGACACAGACAGAUGGACAGACCACUUGAGACGACUACAAAUACUUAGAGACGAAGUACAGAGGCACUUGAUAGAAGCAAACGAAAAACAAGCACACUACUACAACCUACGAAGACGAGACAUUCAAUUCAAGGAGGGAGACAGAGUACUAAAAAAGAACCACACACUCUCAUCCGGACCAGAACGAACGACAGCUAAGUUAAAUAAAAAAUUCAUAGGCCCAUACAUAAUCACUAGAAAAGUCUCACCCACAAUAUACGAAUUAACAACAGAGAGCGGUAGAAAUAUAGGAAAAUGUCAUAUAGAAGACCUAAAAUUAUAUACAUAAUCAAAUAACACACCCCGAAAAUAAACUAACAUGUGUAUUCACUCCACAGAAACACAACAUGGAAAAUCAGCAAACAAAAAUACCGGCCCUGAUGACGCUGCGACUGACGAGACCGACGACAACGACGACACAAACAGAAAAAACACCACUAUUACAAACACCAGGACAGGCCCCACACCCACACAAAUACGGACGCGACGGCACACACCAGACGGAGACCCGACGAACCCUACUACCGACACCCCCCACAUACAGAAAGCCACACAGAGACACUCACAAACACACACAA